Non-coding RNA from Podarcis lilfordi (Lilford's wall lizard), 81 nucleotides. NCBI's taxonomy places the organism in Eukaryota, Metazoa, Chordata, Lepidosauria, Squamata, Lacertidae. The record is from the annotation of a GenBank genome assembly.
ACAUGUAGAUGGAUAACUCAGUUGAUUAGAGCGUGGUGCUGAUAGCGCCAAGGUUGCAGGUUCGAUCCCCAGUUGCAUGUU